This 491-nucleotide ribosomal RNA is filed under the name uncultured bacterium. RNAcentral describes it as "partial 16S ribosomal RNA". It matches the Rfam family "Bacterial small subunit ribosomal RNA", at positions 29 to 506 of the family's 1533-position model. The record is from RNAcentral.
AUUGAACGCUGGCGGCAUGCUUUACACAUGCAAGUCGAACGGUAACAGGCCUUCGGGUGCUGACGAGUGGCGAACGGGUGAGUAAUGCAUCGGAACGUGCCCAGAGGUGGGGGAUAACGCAGCGAAAGCUGUGCUAAUACCGCAUGUGAUCUGAGGAUGAAAGCGGGGGACCAGGCAGCAAUGUUUGGCCUCGCGCCUUUGGAGCGGCCGAUGUCAGAUUAGGUAGUUGGUGGGGUAAAGGCCUACCAAGCCGACGAUCUGUAGCUGGUCUGAGGGGACGGCCGCCCCACGUGGAACUGGGACACGGCCAGACCCCCCAGGGAGGGCAGCGGGGGGAAAUUUUGAACAAGGGGCGAAACCCUAACCAGGAAAGCCGGGGGGGGGGAAGAAGGCCUUGGGGUUGAAAACCGUUUUUGUAGGGAACAAAAGGGCUCUGGGUAAUACCUGGGGUUGAUACCGGUACCAAAAAAAAAAGCACCGCCUAACUACUG